UUCCAAGGCUAGGUCAUAAAAGACAUUGUGGCUUCUACCCUACUCUCUGUUGAAUCACUCAUUCUGAGGGAAGUCAGUUGCCAUGUCAUGAGGUCAUGUAAGCAGCCAGUGGAGAAGUCCAUGUGGAAAAGUCCAUGUAGUGAGAAACUGAGGCCUCCUGUCGACAGCCAGCAUGAACUCAUUAUGCAUAUGAGAGUGAAACAUCAUGGAAGUGGAUCCUCUAGCCCCAGAUGAAAUGUUGAGCUGGUUGGCUCCUGUCACAUGGUAUAGAGCAGAGUCCAUUUGCAAUACACAAGAAGAGAAGCAUAACAUCAACCUGGUGACAAAUAGAGAUUGUGUGUUGACUACAGUCUGAAGAAACUUUGUCCUUGAUGAUUUCUUCCCUACUGGACUAACCAUUGAGACAGUGAGUUCAUCAUUACUGGUCUUUGUACACUCAGAGCCUGGUAACAUUAUGGUCAUGUAAUGUCUGUUGAAUGAAAAAUGAAUGAAUAAAUGAACAUGCCUCUAUCUGGGAUAAUAGCAUACUUCACCUAAAGAAAGGAAACUCAAACAAAUAACCCUUUGAGGAGUCAGAGAGAUCAAAUGGAAAAUUUAUCAGGCAGAGAACCAGAAGCCCUGGAUUCCACUCCUUACUUUAUCACUAGGAGCCGCCUUCAGAUGCUGGGGACUGGGUGACAGGAGGGUGAAGAUGUACCGAACAGCAGAGUCUUGAAAUAUGAAACAGCCUUUCUGGAUGAAAGGUCAGAACUCAGAGAACGAAAGAAAAUGCAGGAUGAAAUGAUAUGAAAGAGGGAGGCUAGGGGAUGGCCUGGCAGAAAAAUAAGCACAGGGAGAGGAACACAGGAAGUGAGGCUGAGAGGUGCUGAUAAGGGCAUGGGGCUUGGCUGAGGAGAACGAUGAAGGCACCUGGUGUUCCUGAUGGGCAGAGCUGCGGGAGGCAGGUGGCCACGCUGAGGAGACUGGCCCACCAGUACAGCAAUUCCCGCUGAAACUGGGAACUGGAUGGACAAGCCUGCUGCCCUAAGAACAGUGGUGGUUAAAAGAGAGAGCUCAGCCUGGGCCUGAUAGGAGAAGAAGGGAGACUUAAGAAAACAACCACCCCACAGCUCCAAAAGGAGGAGCUUGCAGACUGAAAGAGAAGCGAUGACAGACAGUGCCUGGAAUGGACCGUUUAAUGCUUUAAACCUGUGCCAAACUAACUGAGUAA
This is a long non-coding RNA of Gorilla gorilla gorilla (western lowland gorilla), 1210 nucleotides long. RefSeq lists it as uncharacterized. Lineage: Eukaryota; Metazoa; Chordata; Mammalia; Primates; Hominidae. The record is from RefSeq and is a predicted model, not a curated record. The transcript is spliced from 4 exons.